UACGUAGGGUGCAAGCGUUGUCCGGAAUUAUUGGGCGUAAAGAGCUCGUAGGCGGUCUGUCGCGUCGGCUGUGAAAUCCCGGAGCUCAACUCCGGGUCUGCAGUCGAUACGGGCAGACUGGAGGCAUGCAGGGGAGAACGGAAUUCCUGGUGUAGCGGUGAAAUGCGCAGAUAUCAGGAGGAACACCGGUGGCGAAGGCGGUUCUCUGGGCAUGUCCUGACGCUGAGGAGCGAAAGUGUGGGGGAGCGAACAGG
This 254-nucleotide ribosomal RNA is filed under the name uncultured bacterium. RNAcentral describes it as "partial 16S ribosomal RNA". It matches the Rfam family "Bacterial small subunit ribosomal RNA", at positions 524 to 776 of the family's 1533-position model. The record is from RNAcentral.